UGAGGAAUAUUGGUCAAUGGGCGGGAGCCUGAACCAGCCAAGCCGCGUGAGGGAGGAAGGCCCUAUGGGUCGUAAACCUCUUUUGUCAGGGUAACAAAAGCGAGUAUGUAUACUAGUCUGAGUGUACCUGAAGAAAAAGCAUCGGCUAACUCCGUGCCAGCAGCCGCGGUAAUACGGAGGAUGCGAGCGUUAUCCGGAUUUAUUGGGUUUAAAGGGUGCGUAGGCGGCGGUGCAAGUCAGCGGUAAAAAGCCCGGGGCUCAACCCG
RNAcentral lists this ribosomal RNA (266 nucleotides) under uncultured Bacteroidales bacterium. RNAcentral describes it as "partial 16S ribosomal RNA". It matches the Rfam family "Bacterial small subunit ribosomal RNA", at positions 355 to 616 of the family's 1533-position model. Lineage: Bacteria; Pseudomonadati; Bacteroidota; Bacteroidia; Bacteroidales. The record is from RNAcentral.